GGGAAGGAUGAGAAGCUUCGACCAAGGUUCGACUCGAGCGAAGCGAGAGAACGUUGCCGCAGGCAAUGGCCCGAAGGCGAGGCGCUUUAGCGCCGAGUAAUCCUUACCCCACCACU
Molecule: small RNA, 116 nt
Filed under: Klebsiella pneumoniae
Lineage: Bacteria; Pseudomonadati; Pseudomonadota; Gammaproteobacteria; Enterobacterales; Enterobacteriaceae
Description: RtT RNA
Rfam family: RtT RNA
About the family: This family represents a bacterial cis-regulatory element known as RtT RNA. The exact function of RtT is unknown although it is thought that it may be involved in changing the cellular response in relation to amino acid starvation.
Source: RNAcentral